This 441-nucleotide ribosomal RNA is filed under the name uncultured bacterium. RNAcentral's name for it is "partial 16S ribosomal RNA". It matches the Rfam family "Bacterial small subunit ribosomal RNA", at positions 338 to 795 of the family's 1533-position model. The record is from RNAcentral.
CCUACGGGAGACAGCAGUGGGGGAUAUUGCACAAUGGGGGGAACCCUGAUGCAGCGACGCCGCGUGGGUGAAGGAGCGUUUCGGCGCGUAACGCCCUAUCGGCAGGGAAGAAGGAGACCGGUACCUGUCUAAGAAGCCCCGGCUAACUACGUGCCAGCAGCCCCGGUAAUACGUAGGGGGCAAGCGUUAUCAGGCUUUACUGGGUGUAAAGGGGGCGCAGACGGCAGGGCAAGCCAGGAGUGAAAGCCCGGGGCCAAACCCCGGGACUGCUCUUGGAACUGCGCGGCUGGAGUGCAGGAGGGGCAGGCGGAAUUCCUGGUGUAGCGGUGAAAUGCGUAGAUAUCAGGAGGAACACCGGUGGCGAAGGCGGCCUACUGGACUGCGACUGACGUUGAGGCCCGAAAGCGUGGGGAGCAAACAGGAUUAGAUACCCGGGUAGUC